Molecule: long non-coding RNA, 2358 nt
Organism: Oncorhynchus masou masou (cherry salmon)
Lineage: Eukaryota; Metazoa; Chordata; Actinopteri; Salmoniformes; Salmonidae
Exons: 3
Source: RefSeq, a predicted model, not a curated record
CGGGAUGCUCCUUCAACAACAACAGGUUGUUCGACACCUCGGUAGCUUUCCAGCAAACAUAGCUACAACAUUCACAACCUUUACACUGUUUUCGGUGUAUAUUAGUCGCUGUGUAUUAAACAAACUUCUGUCGUAUGUACUUGUUGGCCCAUUUAAUUAUAUAUUUACGUUGUUUGUCAGCUAGCUGGUUUGCUAAGUUUGCUUAGAACGAGGCUAGUUGCUAAUCCUAGCUAACAUCUCCGACCAUGAGUUCACUCUCCCGUUAAAGAAGAGGUGGUCUGCUGGACGGAGAAAGAAGCUCUCGCAAAAGGAGGAGGAGGAAGAGGAGGAUGUUACAAUACAAAAACAAAUAGAGGGUGAAGCUGUUACCGUGAAAGAAGAAGAGAAAGACGCGUUCAGAGUGAAAGAGGAGGAGGAUGUUACAGUAAAAGGAGAGGAGGCAGUGAAACAGGAGGAUGCAGUGUUUGGAGUGAAAGAGGAGGGGGAGAAUACUGUCACAUUGAAAGAAUAGGAGGAUGUUGGAGAUCUGUUUCACACCACCUUCCUCUCCUAUGAAGACCCAGUGAGGGUGGAGCUCAGUCAGAGAGCUGUUGAGGGACUGGUUAUGAAGAACACUUCUACAGCCAGAGAGGGGCAGUCAAGAAACAGAACAUCAAGGCCACAGAAUAUGACAUAAUCAGAGCUGUGGGAGACCACCUCAAGCCCCUGGUACAGCCGGGGGUGGUGUUUACCACUCCACCAUGCCUUCAGCAGGCUGGAAAAGUGAUACUGUUUUUCUGUCGGUUUCUGAGUCUGUUGAUUGUUCAUUGGGUUAAUUUGUUCAAAUCAAGCUUUAUUUAUACAGCACAUUUCAGACAGGAAAAAACAAAUAAAAAACUAUGAAAAUAAAUAUUUAGUACACAAACAUGAGGAUAAAAAAUAGAAGACUGACAAAUGAAUGACUAAUGAGGAAAUGCAAUUGAUUAAAAUAUUAAUUGGAUACAAUAUCCAACCCCCAAAUAUAAGGGGUUCUGAAAGACACUCACAGUGUCCAAUGAAAGUUGACUAGUAACAACAACUGGGACCUAAAAGACACCCACAACGAGACUCACUAAAUCUGUCCAAGAAGAGGCAAACACACACCAAACUUAGACAGGACACAAACCAAAAAGGUGGUUAAAAUAAAGGUGUUGACUAUCCUCAUCUAUCAAGACAACUGGAGCACUGGGCCAGACACUCUUAAAUAGAACCUGGACCAGCUCAGGUGAAACACCUUCCCACUAAUGAGCUGGACAAGCCAGGACAGGUGUAACACAUACUGACUAACGAGGUGACACCAAUCAGUGCACCAAAGACACAUUUCAUUUGAUUGCAUUCAAAUGAAUGACUCGGUAUCCCCCUUUCCUAUGCUCUAACAUCCAACCUCAAAAUAUAAAAGGAAAAACCAAAGCCUGUAACACUUCCCCUUUAAGACAACCAACAUAUCCUAUAUUUUUGUUGGACAAGUUUGCUCACCACCAACAAAAAACAACUUCCAUUUCUCAUUAUAAUCAACUACAAAGCUUCACCUUCUACAAUAUAAACAUAGUGUCAACUGGCUGUCAACAAUUAAAAACAAGAAAAAAACACGUAUUUCUAAAUAAUAAUAUACAAUCAUAUAAUUUUUUAUCCUUUUUCUUUCCAUAGAAUCCUAAAACUCACUAGCUUCUAGAACUCUCGUCUUCCUAAAACUCACUAGCUUCUAGCCCAAACUAAACUCAAAUCAAAUUGUAUUAGUCACAUGCGCCGGAUACAACACUGGAACUCCUACUUACGAGCUCCUAACCAACAGUGCAGUUUCCAAAAAAUACAGAAAAGAAUAAGAGAUAAAACUCAUCUCCAACACGGAAAAGCGUGUCAAAAUAAAUUGUGAUCCAUGGUAACACACUAGUUAAAUGCACAACACAAAUAUUUUUGACUGCCAACCCUUGAGACAAUCAGCAACCAAGUUGUCCUUACCACGGACAUGUCUGAUUUCAAGAGGAAACUCCUGCGAUAUCCGUAGUAACUUUCCACCUCACUGCAGAGCUUCUCUCUCUUUUCAGGACUCACUCAAUAGGCAUGUUGUUGGAUCGGAGUCCAGUCCCCAAUGUUCAUCUAGUAGAUUUGGGUUGGCACAUCUGAGAAUUAACCCUGACAUUAUGAAAGCAGGGUAACAAUGUCAAUAUAAUUGUACCCAAAAAUUGUCAGUUGGUUGCAUAAAUAAUUAUUACUAAAUGUUACAUGAAUUGUAAAUAUGAAAUAUCAAAACCAAAUGUACACCCCUUUGUUAAUAUGUAGUGGCAAUAAUUAACUUAAUGGUGAGGCAUGGAAUAAUAAAAUAUGUAUCUUAUGAGGUGA